RNAcentral lists this ribosomal RNA (253 nucleotides) under uncultured bacterium. RNAcentral's name for it is "partial 16S ribosomal RNA". It matches the Rfam family "Bacterial small subunit ribosomal RNA", at positions 524 to 776 of the family's 1533-position model. The record is from RNAcentral.
UACGAAGGGGGCUAGCGUUGCUCGGAAUUACUGGGCGUAAAGCGCACGUAGGCGGACUCUUAAGUCGGUGGUGAAAUCCUGGAGCUCAACUCCAGAACUGCCUUCGAUACUGGGAGCCUUGAGUUCGGGAGAGGUGAGUGGAACUGCGAGUGUAGAGGUGAAAUUCGUAGAUAUUCGGAGGAACACCAGUGGCGAAGGCGGCUCACUGGCUCGAUACUGACGCUGAGGUGCGAAAGCGUGGGGAGCAAACAGG